Molecule: ribosomal RNA, 491 nt
Filed under: uncultured bacterium
Lineage: Bacteria
Description: partial 16S ribosomal RNA
Rfam family: Bacterial small subunit ribosomal RNA
Source: RNAcentral
GAUGAACGCUGGCUACAGGCUUAACACAUGCAAGUCGAGGGGAAACGACGGGGAAGCUUGCUUCCCCGGGCGUCGACCGGCGCACGGGUGAGUAACGCGUAUCCAACCUGCCUCUGACUGAGGGAUAACCCGUCGAAAGUCGGCCUAAUACCUCAUGGUAUCGUCUGCGGGCAUCCAACGACGAUUAAAGAUUUCAUCGGUCAGGGAUGGGGAUGCGUCUGAUUAGCUUGUUGGCGGGGUAACGGCCCACCAAGGCUACGAUCAGUAGGGGUUCUGAGAGGAAGGUCCCCCACAUUGGAACUGAGACACGGUCCAAACUCCUACGGGAGGCAGCAGUGAGGAAUAUUGGUCAAUGGGCGAGAGCCUGAACCAGCCAAGUAGCGUGCAGGAAGACGGCCCAAUGGGUUGUAAACUGCUUUUAUGCGGGGAUAAAGUGAGGGACGUGUCCCUCAUUGCAGGUACCGCAUGAAUAAGGACCGGCUAAUUCCGUG